CAUGAAUCAACGUCAGUAUCAUCCACUGGAGGAGCUAGUCCAUCAGCUACUGUUGAUGUCAAUAAAGUAAAGAAAGUGAUCAAUGAUGUUCUUGUAUUUCAUUAUGCUGCUCUCAAUUCUCUUAAGACAUCUCUCUCAGAUCUUGCCAGUCAGUUAUAUGCAGCUCAUCUUAUUAGUGAUGAAGUCAGAGAGACUCGUAGCAUGGAAAAGUUUAUAACAGAGUUCAAGACUAGUCUUAGUUUUAUGAGGGAGGUGUCUCAAGUGGAGGAGCACUGUCAA
Amphimedon queenslandica is the source of this 279-nucleotide long non-coding RNA. RefSeq lists it as uncharacterized. The record is from RefSeq and is a predicted model, not a curated record. NCBI's taxonomy places the organism in Eukaryota, Metazoa, Porifera, Demospongiae, Haplosclerida, Niphatidae. The transcript is spliced from 2 exons.